This 236-nucleotide long non-coding RNA is filed under the name Setaria italica (foxtail millet). RNAcentral describes it as "long non-coding RNA (SITA_LNC003857)". Lineage: Eukaryota; Viridiplantae; Streptophyta; Magnoliopsida; Poales; Poaceae. The record is from RNAcentral.
GAUAGAUCAUAGACGGGAAGUGAUCACUCCUUUCUUUGAGGAGUGGACAGGAGGCGAUUCUGACUUGGCCACCGGGUUAUAAUGUUCAGUGCUCCGAGAGCAAAGAAAAAUACUAUUAAUGGCCUUCAUAGUAAAGUACUUUGGUGCCAAAGAGUACACGAAAGGGAACUGAGCAAUGCGGUUGAUGGCGUUCCUGUGCUGGCAUUUUUGGUCGGUCCCGCAUGAGUCUGUCUAGG